This 1219-nucleotide small RNA is filed under the name Vigna angularis var. angularis. Its description in RNAcentral is "Non-protein coding transcript". The record is from RNAcentral. Lineage: Eukaryota; Viridiplantae; Streptophyta; Magnoliopsida; Fabales; Fabaceae.
UAUUUAUCACAAAUUGCAUAGAGAAAAAAAUCACAAAAUCAAUUGGACAUUUAUUAUAGUCCACCAGCAUACCAAUUUACUGAAAAUCAAGCUCAUAUACUAAUAUAAUAUAGUAUUAAGUACUGAGUUUGCUUGUAUUUCUAACUUGAGAUACCACCCGCAAAGACCAUUCCACCAAAUGACCAAGCAAUGCCUUUGACACCAACUGUGGAGCAUUUGCUGGGAGAUUUAUCCACAACCAAUUUACCUCGCAUGUACUAAAAAAUAAGUGUUCUAAACCAGCGCCAAGAUUUCCUCUUCCCUUUUAUAAGAGUCGCCAAGCACCCAUAAAUCAUUACAGACGACUUAUCCAAUGGAAACAAAACCUAAAACGCAAGGGAAAGAAGAUGUUAUACAUUGAUUAACCCAAAAAGAUUCAAUUUUAUAGCAUCGACCAGUCAAAUGAGUUUUUAAUUUAUCUCAAAAUAAGCCUUUCUCAGACAAUAACAGAACACAGUUAAUUCAUAAAUUUUAUUGCAUUUUUACGCGUUGAUGAUGGCGAGGGAGACAGCGCCAACUUCUUGUUCUCCAAUUCGUCAUUAAUAGGACUGCCUCUGCCCCAAACUCUAACCUUCUCCAAGAUCAAGGGUUCCCCAUGGAAAGCAUGGUGUCCUUCAUCCUCUUCCCUACCGGUCCUUCGUCAUUAAGUUCGGGAUCUUCGUCGGCAUUCUCAUCAGAUAUGUAGGGAAUUUUAAGGCCAUCGACUUUGAGAAGUGAAGCUCCAUUGGAGUUGGAAGAAACCAAACUAGAGUUUUGGAGUUGGAAAAAACCAUUCAGAAUUUGGGAUUUUCAACCUGCAAAGAACAAAGACGGGUCUGUGAGCCAUAGAGAACAGAAAGAGCGACGCUAACAUCAACAAGAGAGAAGAGGGCGUGAUAUGAGCAGCUAAAGAGCACAAGAGUGUCGAGGCAUGAAGAUGAUGGUUCGAGAAACGAAGAUGAUGGCUCCAAACAGGGAGAGGAAAGGCUCGAGAAGAAUGGCUCGAUGAGAAGAAGGGUUCGAUGACAGGGAACACUAGAGAAGAAGGGUUGGAGAACAAUGGCUCGGUGAGAGGAAAGGAGUUAUUACCUCGAUUUAACCAGGCAAAAGCUCCAGACCAGAAGAAAUCAACAAUGGAAGAAGGUGCAGCGGAAUGAUGAAAAUAAUGAAGUGUUUGAAGUGUUUUAAUGGAGGAGAGGUG